UUGAAAGGGAAACGAUUGAAGUCAGUCGUGCCGGCGGGGAUUCAGCGAACUUCGCGGAGUGAGCGUAUUUCCUCGCAUGGCAGGUCAGCGUCAGUUUUGCGCGUCGUGAAAGGGCUCGGGUAAGGUGACUCUCUUCGGGGAGUGUUAUAGACCUGAGCAGAUGCGAUGCGCGGGACUGAGGAUUGCAGCGGACACCCUUCGGGGGCGCGGCGACCGAUCCCUGCUCCGUCACCUUCGUCCGAUAGCGUGCUAACGGUCGAGGGAGCGGCGGUUGCACUGGGUUGGCAAGCCGGCGGCUUUCGCUAAGGAUGCUGACGUA
Molecule: ribosomal RNA, 319 nt
Filed under: uncultured Glomeromycotina
Lineage: Eukaryota; Fungi; Glomeromycota
Description: LSU rRNA
Source: RNAcentral